Long non-coding RNA from Oncorhynchus keta (chum salmon), 854 nucleotides. RefSeq lists it as uncharacterized. The record is from RefSeq and is a predicted model, not a curated record. NCBI's taxonomy places the organism in Eukaryota, Metazoa, Chordata, Actinopteri, Salmoniformes, Salmonidae. The transcript has 4 exons.
CAGUACUCUCUCAUGUCUCUAGUCCUCCAGGUGUCUGUCAGUCAGUACUCUCUCAUGUCUCUAGUCCUCCAGGUGUCUGUCAGUCAGUACUCUGUCUCAUGUCUCUAGUCCUCCAGGUGUCUGUCAGUCAGUACUCUGUCUCAUGUCUCUAGUCCUCCAGGUGUCUGUCAGUCAGUACUCUCUCAUGUCUCUAGUCCUCCAGGUGUCUGUCAGUCAGUACUCUCUCAUGUCUCUAGUCCUCCAGGUGUCUGUCAGUCAGUACUCUCUCAUGUCUCUAGUCCUCCAGGUGUCUGUCAGUCAGUACUCUCUCAUGUCUCUAGUCCUCCAGGUGUCUGUCAGUCAGUACUCUCUCAUGUCUCUAGUCCUCCAGGUGUCUGUCAGUCAGUACUCUCUCAUGUCUCUAGUCCUCCAGGUGUCUGUCAGUCAGUACUCUGUCUCAUGUCUCUAGUCCUCCAGGUGUCUGUCAGUCAGUACUCUGUCAUGUCUCUAGUCCUCCAGGUGUCUGUCAGUCAGUACUCUCUCAUGUCUCUAGUCCUCCAGGUGUCUGUCAGUCAGUACUCUCUCAUGUCUCUAGUCCUCCAGGUGUCUGUCAGUCAGUACUCUGUCUCAUGUCUCUAGUCCUCCAGGUGUCUGUCAGUCAGUACUCUGUCUCAUGUCUCUAGUCCUCCAGGUGUCUGUCAGUCAGUACUCUCUCAUGUCUCUAGUCCUCCAGGUGUCUGUCAGUCAGUACUACUGUCCUGUAGGUCAGUCCAACCCUCUUCCUGGAGAUUUACUGUCCUGUAGGUUUUCAGUCCAACCCUCUUCCUGGAGAUUUACUGUCCUGUAGGUUUUCAGUCUAACCCUCUUCCUGGAGA